ACGAACGCUGGCGGCGUGCCUAAUACAUGCAAGUUGAGCGCUGAAGGUUGGUACUUGUACCAACUGGAUGAGCAGCGAACGGGUGAGUAACGCGUGGGGAAUCUGCCUUUGAGCGGGGGACAACAUUUGGAAACGAAUGCUAAUACCGCAUAAAAACUUUAAACACAAGUUUUAAGUUUGAAAGAUGCAAUUGCAUCACUCAAAGAUGAUCCCGCGUUGUAUUAGCUAGUUGGUGAGGUAAAGGCUCACCAAGGCGAUGAUACAUAGCCGACCUGAGAGGGUGAUCGGCCACAUUGGGACUGAGACACGGCCCAAACUCCUACGGGAGGCAGCAGUAGGGAAUCUUCGGCAAUGGACGAAAGUCUGACCGAGCAACGCCGCGUGAGUGAAGAAGGUUUUCGGAUCGUAAAACUCUGUUGAUAGAGAAGAACGUUGGUGAGAGUGGAAAGCUCAUCAAGUGACGGUAACUACCCAGAAAGGGACGGCUAACUACGUG
Molecule: ribosomal RNA, 496 nt
Filed under: uncultured bacterium
Lineage: Bacteria
Description: partial 16S ribosomal RNA
Rfam family: Bacterial small subunit ribosomal RNA
Source: RNAcentral